This 1514-nucleotide ribosomal RNA is filed under the name Streptomyces albidoflavus. RNAcentral describes it as "partial 23S ribosomal RNA". It matches the Rfam family "Bacterial large subunit ribosomal RNA", at positions 1390 to 2874 of the family's 2925-position model. The record is from RNAcentral. Lineage: Bacteria; Bacillati; Actinomycetota; Actinomycetes; Kitasatosporales; Streptomycetaceae.
AGCCCGUGAAGCCGUUCCGGACCCUUCGGGGAAUGGAAAGUGGUGGAGCCGGUGGCCCGAGCUGGUAGUAGGUGAGUGAUGGGGUGACGCAGGAAGGUAGUCCAUCCCGGGCGGUGGUUGUCCCGGGGUAAGGGUGUAGGACGUCAGGUAGGUAAAUCCGCCUGGCAAUAGUCUGAGACCUGAUGCCGAGCCGAUUGUGGUGAAGUGGAUGAUCCUAUGCUGUCGAGAAAAGCCUCUAGCGAGUUUCAUGGCGGCCCGUACCCUAAACCGACUCAGGUGGUCAGGUAGAGAAUACCGAGGCGUUCGGGUGAACUAUGGUUAAGGAACUCGGCAAAAUGCCCCCGUAACUUCGGGAGAAGGGGGGCCAUGUCUGGUGAUCCGAUUUACUCGGUGAGCUGGGUGUGGCCGCAGAGACCAGCGAGAAGCGACUGUUUACUAAAAACACAGGUCCGUGCGAAGCCGUAAGGCGAUGUAUACGGACUGACGCCUGCCCGGUGCUGGAACGUUAAGGGGACCGGUUAGUCACAUUUCGGUGUGGCGAAGCUGAGAACUUAAGCGCCAGUAAACGGCGGUGGUAACUAUAACCAUCCUAAGGUAGCGAAAUUCCUUGUCGGGUAAGUUCCGACCUGCACGAAUGGCGUAACGACUUCUCGACUGUCUCAACCAUAGGCCCGGUGAAAUUGCAUUACGAGUAAAGAUGCUCGUUUCGCGCAGCAGGACGGAAAGACCCCGGGACCUUUACUACAGUUUGAUAUUGGUGUUCGGUUCGGCUUGUGUAGGAUAGGUGGGAGACUGUGAAGCAUGCACGCCAGUGUGUGUGGAGUCGUCGUUGAAAUACCACUCUGGUCGUGCUGGAUGUCUAACCUGGGUCCGUGAUCCGGAUCAGGGACAGUGUCUGAUGGGUAGUUUAACUGGGGCGGUUGCCUCCUAAAGAGUAACGGAGGCGCCCAAAGGUUCCCUCAGCCUGGUUGGUAAUCAGGUGUUGAGUGUAAGUGCACAAGGGAGCUUGACUGUGAGACCGACGGGUCGAGCAGGGACGAAAGUCGGGACUAGUGAUCCGGCGGUGGCUUGUGGAAGCGCCGUCGCUCAACGGAUAAAAGGUACCCCGGGGAUAACAGGCUGAUCUUCCCCAAGAGUCCAUAUCGACGGGAUGGUUUGGCACCUCGAUGUCGGCUCGUCGCAUCCUGGGGCUGGAGUCGGUCCCAAGGGUUGGGCUGUUCGCCCAUUAAAGCGGUACGCGAGCUGGGUUUAGAACGUCGUGAGACAGUUCGGUCCCUAUCCGCUGUGCGCGUAGGAAUAUUGAGAAGGGCUGUCCCUAGUACGAGAGGACCGGGACGGACGAACCUCUGGUGUGCCAGUUGUUCUGCCAAGGGCAUGGCUGGUUGGCUACGUUCGGGAGGGAUAACCGCUGAAAGCAUCUAAGCGGGAAGCCUGCUUCGAGAUGAGUAUUCCCACCUCCUUGAGAGGGUAAGGCUCCCAGUAGACGACUGGGUUGAUAGGCCGGAUAUGGAAGC